Molecule: long non-coding RNA, 357 nt
Organism: Lycium barbarum (goji berry)
Lineage: Eukaryota; Viridiplantae; Streptophyta; Magnoliopsida; Solanales; Solanaceae
Exons: 2
Source: RefSeq, a predicted model, not a curated record
AGGUUUCGGACGAAACGGGAGUUGAGGUUUGGCGAGCGUAAAAGGAAAGAAAGGUACAGACGACAGGUUUGCUGAUCCGCCCGCUUAGGACUUUGUUCUGCUAUUUUGGAGCGCUCUUUUAUCCGGAGCCUAUAUUUUGGUAUAGUAUUCUACUAUUGUAUAUAUGUACGCUAUUCAGGGGUACGACGGGGCCCUGUCCCAUCUUAUGUUUCUGUUAUUACUGUUCGUAGAGGUCUGUAGACACAUAUGUGGGUUGUGUAUAUGUUCUGGGAAAUACGUAUUCUGUGAUGGCCUUAUCGGCUUCUGUGCGCUACAUCUGCUUAUGUACGAUAGCUUGUGACUCCGUUUGGCUUUAUA